AAAGUACUCCCUCCGUCCCAUAUUAAGUGACUCAAAUUUGUCCAAAUAUGAAAGUAUCUAUAUCUAAAAACGUCUAGAUACAUGUAAUACAAAGUCACUUAAUAUGGGACGGAGGGAGUACCAG
This is a non-coding RNA of Brachypodium distachyon (stiff brome), 124 nucleotides long. The record is from Rfam. NCBI's taxonomy places the organism in Eukaryota, Viridiplantae, Streptophyta, Magnoliopsida, Poales, Poaceae.